UUACAAACGAUUCAGUUUUAGAAUGUCAUACUUUGCUAUAACGCAAUUUAUAUACAACUUUCAGCAACGGAUCUCUUGGCUCUCGCAUCGAUGAAGA
This 97-nucleotide ribosomal RNA is filed under the name Bjerkandera adusta. RNAcentral's name for it is "5.8S ribosomal RNA". The stretch from base 56 to 97 matches the Rfam family "5.8S ribosomal RNA", at positions 1 to 42 of the family's 154-position model. Lineage: Eukaryota; Fungi; Basidiomycota; Agaricomycetes; Polyporales; Phanerochaetaceae. The record is from RNAcentral.